Molecule: long non-coding RNA, 314 nt
Filed under: Elaeis guineensis (African oil palm)
Lineage: Eukaryota; Viridiplantae; Streptophyta; Magnoliopsida; Arecales; Arecaceae
Description: long non-coding RNA (EGUI_LNC013537)
Source: RNAcentral
UGUAUUAUCGAGAGCGGUACCCCUUGAUAGCAUAAUCGUAUUAUGUCUCAAAUUUGGGACGUGACAUCCACCACUACAUUAGCUCUUCCCAGAGCCUCGAUGCAAUUGAUUGGUGCUAAAUGAAGGAGAACCCAAUAACAGAAAGAGAAUGCCUUGCCACAAGAACUCUGUCGCUUCCCACCAGCAAUCUACUCGGGGAAGUCAAGGUAGAGCCACCUAGCUGUCUGUCCCUUAUAGAUUUGUGGAGCUUGUGUAGCCGAUCGUGGCAGCAAACCCCCGACAAUUUGGCAACUUGGUAUGCUAGGUCCAGGUGC